Long non-coding RNA from Homo sapiens (human), 3531 nucleotides. RefSeq annotates it as CZ1P-ASNS readthrough. Lineage: Eukaryota; Metazoa; Chordata; Mammalia; Primates; Hominidae. The record is from RefSeq and is marked validated. The transcript is spliced from 19 exons.
GCUUCCGGGGUGGUGGCGAGGGAGGCGGAAGUGCGGUGUUCUAGCAGGUGGCUGCUUUCUCUGGGCUGGCUGUGGGAGGCUCCCGAGGUGGGGACCCGGCCGGGAUGGCUGCAGCGGCGGCCGGGGCUGGGAGCGGGCCCUCGGCGGCCCAGGAGAAGCAGUUCCUGCCGGCGCUGCUGAGUUUCUUCAUCUACAACCCGCGCUUCUGGCCGCGGGAAGGAGAGACCUCCCAGUGCCAAGUGUAUAAGCGUGUCCAGAAUUGGUGGGUCUCACUGACUUCAAGAAUGAAGCCGCGGACCCUCCUGGCGGAAUUCUCCACGAGUUUUGAGCAGCCUCGGUUUUCCCACCACCUCCAAAUCAUGCAAGACACAGGGUAAGAGCAAAGACAAGGUGGCUGUGGCCGAUGUCCACCCUCUCGGGGCGUCCCUUCUCUUCUCUCCUCCUUGAGCAGGGAGACCAUCGGGGUGCAACCUGGUUGGGGCGGGGAGGAGGUGCAGGGCCUGGCCAGAGCGGGCCUGGCCACGGGCAAGGGACAGCGACCCCCGGGCCAGGACAGGUGAGAGCGGCGCAGGCCCGGGCCCGGCGUGGCGGAGGUGCGCGUGAGCGGCCAGCAGAGGGCGCCAGAGAGCCAGGAGCGGCCCGCAGAGGAGCCCGCGCCGGCCCCGGUGCCCACCUCCGCGCCGCGCGGACCCUCCGAGCCCGCGCUCAGACGCCCCAGCUCCGCCGAGAGGCCGCUUGCGCCGGGUCCUUCUUCCCCAAAUGCAGGCAGAGCCCCCGGAGCCAUGGCCAGCCCUUCCGGCAGCUCCAAAGCCACUGGCAAGCCCCGAGGCAGGGAUGGCCGGCCCAGGAGGGAGGAGGACGACGUCCCUCCCGAAGAGAAGAGGCUGCGGCUCUUGCUGGAGGGGGGAAGCGCACAGCCCCAGGACUGCGAGGACGGGGAGGACGCGCCGCGGCCGGGCAGGGAGGAGACCGGCACCCAGACAGGUGGCGACGGCAGAGGACCUCUGCCUCAGUCUCCUCUUCUGGAAAGUGGGAUUGGAAACCACAUCUGCUUCUCUCCCAGGACUGCUAGGCAGACAAGAUUAGAUGGCAGCAAGGCGCAUGGGUCGACUGAGCUGGGAGAGUCCACAGUGUCAGCCUCCCCCACGCUUCCCUCCCUCCUUAUUCCUUGUGUGCUGUACUUUGUCUUGAUUUCCUGUACUCUGCACCAAGCCAGGAGAUGGUCUGUUCUUCCCCUGGAUUGUAAACUCCUUGAUGUCUGGGUCAUCUCAGCUCAUGAGCUGAGCUUUCAGUGGGUGCUCAGUGGAACAGAUGCUGAAUGGAGUCAGGCUGUAGGGAGGCCAGUGUGUGUUGGAAGGAAAAUACAUGUACAGCCAACUUCCUUGAGGGUUCGUUCUUUUGCAUCAGGGUGUCUCAAACUGCUGCCCUUAAAACACCUGUAAGAGAAUCAUCCAGGCGGCUUGCUCACUCUGCAUGCAGGCCCUUUAGAAUGAGAGUCAGAAUCCCUGGGGCUGGAGCCACAAAAUGAAAUGACAUUUCAACGAGUUUGUCAUCAUGUGAGAGAGAAUAGAUUUUCUUCAAUCACAUCUGAAUAAAUCACUUGAAGAAAGCUUAUAGCUUCAUUGCACCAUGUGUGGCAUUUGGGCGCUGUUUGGCAGUGAUGAUUGCCUUUCUGUUCAGUGUCUGAGUGCUAUGAAGAUUGCACACAGAGGUCCAGAUGCAUUCCGUUUUGAGAAUGUCAAUGGAUACACCAACUGCUGCUUUGGAUUUCACCGGUUGGCGGUAGUUGACCCGCUGUUUGGAAUGCAGCCAAUUCGAGUGAAGAAAUAUCCGUAUUUGUGGCUCUGUUACAAUGGUGAAAUCUACAACCAUAAGAAGAUGCAACAGCAUUUUGAAUUUGAAUACCAGACCAAAGUGGAUGGUGAGAUAAUCCUUCAUCUUUAUGACAAAGGAGGAAUUGAGCAAACAAUUUGUAUGUUGGAUGGUGUGUUUGCAUUUGUUUUACUGGAUACUGCCAAUAAGAAAGUGUUCCUGGGUAGAGAUACAUAUGGAGUCAGACCUUUGUUUAAAGCAAUGACAGAAGAUGGAUUUUUGGCUGUAUGUUCAGAAGCUAAAGGUCUUGUUACAUUGAAGCACUCCGCGACUCCCUUUUUAAAAGUGGAGCCUUUUCUUCCUGGACACUAUGAAGUUUUGGAUUUAAAGCCAAAUGGCAAAGUUGCAUCCGUGGAAAUGGUUAAAUAUCAUCACUGUCGGGAUGUACCCCUGCACGCCCUCUAUGACAAUGUGGAGAAACUCUUUCCAGGUUUUGAGAUAGAAACUGUGAAGAACAACCUCAGGAUCCUUUUUAAUAAUGCUGUAAAGAAACGUUUGAUGACAGACAGAAGGAUUGGCUGCCUUUUAUCAGGGGGCUUGGACUCCAGCUUGGUUGCUGCCACUCUGUUGAAGCAGCUGAAAGAAGCCCAAGUACAGUAUCCUCUCCAGACAUUUGCAAUUGGCAUGGAAGACAGCCCCGAUUUACUGGCUGCUAGAAAGGUGGCAGAUCAUAUUGGAAGUGAACAUUAUGAAGUCCUUUUUAACUCUGAGGAAGGCAUUCAGGCUCUGGAUGAAGUCAUAUUUUCCUUGGAAACUUAUGACAUUACAACAGUUCGUGCUUCAGUAGGUAUGUAUUUAAUUUCCAAGUAUAUUCGGAAGAACACAGAUAGCGUGGUGAUCUUCUCUGGAGAAGGAUCAGAUGAACUUACGCAGGGUUACAUAUAUUUUCACAAGGAUUGGAGAGGGAGAAAGAAAAACUGCUUUGUGUGCCAAAAGCAAAACUCUUGGUGUUUUUGUUUGUGAAAUAGGCUCCUUCUCCUGAAAAAGCCGAGGAGGAGAGUGAGAGGCUUCUGAGGGAACUCUAUUUGUUUGAUGUUCUCCGCGCAGAUCGAACUACUGCUGCCCAUGGUCUUGAACUGAGAGUCCCAUUUCUAGAUCAUCGAUUUUCUUCCUAUUACUUGUCUCUGCCACCAGAAAUGAGAAUUCCAAAGAAUGGGAUAGAAAAACAUCUCCUGAGAGAGACGUUUGAGGAUUCCAAUCUGAUACCCAAAGAGAUUCUCUGGCGACCAAAAGAAGCCUUCAGUGAUGGAAUAACUUCAGUUAAGAAUUCCUGGUUUAAGAUUUUACAGGAAUACGUUGAACAUCAGGUUGAUGAUGCAAUGAUGGCAAAUGCAGCCCAGAAAUUUCCCUUCAAUACUCCUAAAACCAAAGAAGGAUAUUACUACCGUCAAGUCUUUGAACGCCAUUACCCAGGCCGGGCUGACUGGCUGAGCCAUUACUGGAUGCCCAAGUGGAUCAAUGCCACUGACCCUUCUGCCCGCACGCUGACCCACUACAAGUCAGCUGUCAAAGCUUAGGUGGUCUUUAUGCUGUAAUGUGAAAGCAAAUAUUUCUUCGUGUUGGAUGGGGACUGUGGGUAGAUAGGGGAACAAUGAGAGUCAACUCAGGCUAACUUGGGUGUGAAAAAAAUAAAAGUCCUAAAUCUAAACCAUUGCUGUA